UAGUAGGUAGACUGGUCAUCCACUCUGGGAUCAACGCUGAGCUGCUGCAACGUGGCCAGACGGGACCUUAAUGGCUCUUUAACAUGCUGAUAUUCAGCUAAAGCGGUCAAGUUUGUUUUAUGCCACUUUUCCACUAGUCUCGCCUCAGCCCGGCUCGGCUCGACGCGGCUCCACCCGUGUGUUUUUCCACAGCCAGGUGACUCCAUCAGUUUUCAGCCAGGAGAUGUCGCAGUCCACAGAGGGGCGCCUGAGAAACAUCAGCAGUGUGCAGCCGCCUCUCGUCCUUGAGCGGUUUGACAUGAACAACACUACACAUCCUAAAGGACGGACGAGAAGACGGAGCAGCUGAUCCGCUGGAGAGCAGCCAACAACAGCCUGUUCUCCGGCAAGUGUAACGCUGCUGUGAAAGGAUUUGAGACUUUCUUGAAAGAGACUGCCCUGCAGGGAGUCCUCACCCCUGCCUGGGUGAAAAAAAAAUGGGAAAAUUUAAAACAAAAGUACAAAAGCUUGCACUGCAACCACUGGAGCUGAGACAGCGGCUGACAGCUUGUCUCUGAUUGCUUCUCCAGAGGACAACUCGGCACAUCCAGAUGCUCCAGGGUCCUCAUCAGGGGGCUGCAUGUCCUGCUCCUCCAUCUCCAUUGUCUCCAUUGUCCAGGCAGAUAUUGUGCAGGAUGGCACAGCAGGCAACAACCUCUGCCGAGAAGGUUGGACUGACCUCAAGGGCCUUAAAAAAGAUAGUCCGCCAACGGCUUUUCAUCAUGCCAAAUGCCCUUUCUAUGAUGCUCCGUGCCCGGGAGUGCCUGUGGUUGAACCGAGCCUGUACAGGGUUCUGCACAGGCUCUCGGUAGGGUGUGAUCAGGCAGAUGGGGGAAGCCAGGCAGGGGUAACCUCCAUCUCCCAGUAUGCACUUCCCCUCUGGUGGAUACAGCUGCCUGACAUAUACGGGGCUGUUUUUAAGCACCCGAGCAUCAUGGACAGACCCUGGGAAACCCACAAAUAUGUCCAGGAAGCGCCCCUGAUGGUUGCAGAUGGACUGCAGCUGUACGGAGUGGAAGAGCUUCCUGUUCAGGUAACACUGGUUGUUACCAGCAGGAGGCUUUACCCUGAUGUGGCAGCCAUCAAUUGCCCCCACAGCCACACUGAACAUGUCAGAUCCAGCCAAGUGACUGAAUCCAGAGCUGACUUCCUCCAGCUGGUGGUCACCUCUGGGGAAGUGGAUUACUUGCCCAGAAUGCUCAGGACAGCUUUGCUCACCCUGUGAACGAUGUCAUGGACGGUGGAUCUGGGGAUGUCAAAGGCCGUUGACACAACCCUGUAAGAGGCAGCAUGAGCCAGCCAAUAUAAAAAUAAAAGGACCUCAAUGUCCUUGGCCCAACCAUGGGCUGACUCCAGCUCCAGGGCAGCAACCAAGGCAGUGAUGGAGGGUCUUGAGAGCCUGAGGUUGGGGCGCAGGUCAACCAGAUCAUCCAAAUACUGCCUGAUGAUGGGCACUGUGGUGUUCAGCUGGCAGUACACCAUUGGAUUCAUGUUCUGAAAUAAAAAUAAAUCAAAUAAAGAAAUAAGAGUUAUUGGUGUAUUUUCUUUUUAAAAAUGUAAUAUUAUUUUGUUAUCACUUUACAAGGCACAAAAGUAGGCUAUAGGUAUACAGUUGCUUAUAAAUGGUCAUGCUUAGUAUGCUGCUUUGGGUUACUGCAAAAAAUGGUUCAUACCAAAAUAUAUAUUCUGUCAGAUAAUGUUUUUAAAUAGCCUAAACUAACCAUGAAAUUACCCAAGUAUA
RNA transcript from Cololabis saira (Pacific saury), 1780 nucleotides. It is a transcript of the gene named zinc finger protein 239-like, with no coding region annotated. NCBI's taxonomy places the organism in Eukaryota, Metazoa, Chordata, Actinopteri, Beloniformes, Belonidae. The transcript is spliced from 6 exons. The record is from RefSeq and is a predicted model, not a curated record.